UGGGGAAUCUUGCACAAUGGGCGAAAGCCUGAUGCAGCGACGCCGCGUGCGGGAUGAAGGCCUUCGGGUUGUAAACCGCUUUCAGCAGGGAUGAGGCGAAAGUGACGGUACCUGCAGAAGAAGCCCCGGCUAACUACGUGCCAGCAGCCGCGGUAAUACGUAGGGGGCAAGCGUUAUCCGGAUUCAUUGGGCGUAAAGCGCUCGUAGGCGGUCUGUUAGGUCGGGGAGUUAAAUCCGGGGGCUCAACCCCCGUUCGCUCCCGAUACCGGCAGACUUGAGUUUAGUAGGGGAAGGUGGAAUUCCUAGUGUAGCGGUGGAAUGCGCAGAUAUUAGGAAGAACACCAGUGGCGAAGGCGGCCUUCUGGGCCAUAACUGACGCUGAGGAGCGAAAGCUAGGGGAGCAAACAGGAUUAGAUACCCUGGUAGUCCUAGCCGUAAACGAUGGACACUAGGUGUGGGGGAAUAUUUCUUCCGUGCCGCAGCUAACGCAUUAAGUGUCCCGCCUGGGGAGUACGGCCGCAAGGCUA
This 527-nucleotide ribosomal RNA is filed under the name uncultured bacterium. Its description in RNAcentral is "bacterial SSU rRNA". It matches the Rfam family "Bacterial small subunit ribosomal RNA", at positions 355 to 896 of the family's 1533-position model. The record is from RNAcentral.